This 673-nucleotide ribosomal RNA is filed under the name Parochlus aotearoae. Its description in RNAcentral is "eukaryotic LSU rRNA". It matches the Rfam family "Eukaryotic large subunit ribosomal RNA", at positions 386 to 940 of the family's 3401-position model. Lineage: Eukaryota; Metazoa; Arthropoda; Insecta; Diptera; Chironomidae. The record is from RNAcentral.
CUAGGGGUUCAAACCUAAAGAACUCAAAUAUCUAAACGGAGCAAUUCAGUAUUCAACUUCGGUUGGGUGUGCACUUUGCUCUUAGUAAGACGUUGUGAUCCAUUAGGAAUCGAAGUGCAGUUAAGCACUUCAAUAGGCUACCAAUAGGCCUGCACGAAGUUCACGGUGGCAAACAACUGGACUGUUGCGGUUCGGUAUAUUGCCCUGUGAGCGUGCGGCGUCUGCUGUAGCUGCCUGAUGGAUUUUAAAGGUCAUACCGUAAUGCUUUGCGCAUUACCCGCCACGGCGGGUUAGCUAUGUACCCGAUCAACAACGGUUAAAUUUGGGAUACCUUUGGGACCCGUCUUGAAACACGGACCAAGGAGUCUAUCUAGUAUGCGAGUAAAUGGGCACAAGAAAACCUAUUUGCGUAAAUAACUUGACUGUUAUGGGAUUACGAGCUGCACCCGGUUACCCGAGUGCGUUCCUCCAUCCCGGGGUAUUUUUAUAACAUGUACCGCUCUCGGGUGGCCACAUAGAAAAUAUACCAUGAGCACACUGGAUAUGACCCGAAAGAUGGUGAACUAUGCCUGAUCAGGUUGAAGUCAGGGGAAACCCUGAUGGAGGACCGAAGCAAUUCUGACGUGCAAAUCGAUUGUCAGAAUUGGGCAUAGGGGCGAAAGACCAAUCGAAC